This 98-nucleotide transfer RNA is filed under the name Chloroflexota bacterium. RNAcentral describes it as "Chloroflexi bacterium (sediment metagenome) tRNA-Ser". It matches the Rfam family "tRNA". From Rfam's summary of the family: Transfer RNA (tRNA) molecules are approximately 80 nucleotides in length. Their secondary structure includes four short double-helical elements and three loops (D, anti-codon, and T loops). Lineage: Bacteria; Bacillati; Chloroflexota. The record is from RNAcentral.
GGGGAGGUGCCGGAGUAUGGUCGAUCGGGAGCGCCUGCUAAGUGCUUGUACGGGCUUCUAAACCUGUACCGAGGGUUCAAAUCCCUCCCUCCCCGCCU